UACAGAGGUCUCAAGCGUUGUUCGGAUUCAUUGGGCGUAAAGGGUGCGUAGGUGGCGCCGUAAGUCGGGUGUGAAAUUUCGGAGCUUAACUCCGGAACUGCAUUCGAUACUGCGGUGCUUGAGGACUGGAGAGGAGACUGGAAUUCAUGGUGUAGCAGUGAAAUGCGUAGAGAUCAUGAGGAAGACCAGUGGCGAAGGCGGCUCACUGGACUGGUAUUGACGCUGAGGUGCGAAAGCGUGGGGAGCAAACAGG
Molecule: ribosomal RNA, 253 nt
Filed under: uncultured bacterium
Lineage: Bacteria
Description: partial 16S ribosomal RNA
Rfam family: Bacterial small subunit ribosomal RNA
Source: RNAcentral